CGAGUUGGCCGGGCGGCCGCGGCGACGGGAACCGACAUCCUCGAGAUGUCAGGCCCGAUGCCGAGGAAAGUCCGGACUCCACAGAGCAGGGCGGUUGCUAACGGCAACCCGAGGUGACUCGCGGGACAGUGCCACAGAAAACAGACCGCCGAUGCGGCUGUGUCCUUGUGACACAGCGGUCGGUGAGGGUGAAAAGGUGCGGUAAGAGCGCACCAGCGCCCCAGGUGACUGGGGCGGCUAGGUAAACCCCGCCCGGAGCAAGGUUGAAGGCCGCACCGGUGUCCUCCGGGACAUGGUGCGGCUGCGCAGGUGUUCGAGGGCUGCUCGCCCGAGCCUGCGGGUGAACCGCUUGAGGUACCCGGCAACGGUGUGCCCAGAUGGAUGGUCGCCACCCGGCGCUCGCGUCGGGGACAGGAUCCGGCUUACACGCCAACUCGUCCG
This 441-nucleotide RNase P RNA is filed under the name Rhodococcus sp. W8901. RNAcentral describes it as "RNase P RNA component class A". It matches the Rfam family "Bacterial RNase P class A". Rfam says of the family: Ribonuclease P (RNase P) is a ubiquitous endoribonuclease, found in archaea, bacteria and eukarya as well as chloroplasts and mitochondria. The record is from RNAcentral. Lineage: Bacteria; Bacillati; Actinomycetota; Actinomycetes; Mycobacteriales; Nocardiaceae.